GUUGACUGUUCCUAUAUACGGAGUACAUAUGCGUCUAGCCCCUCCCUCCGAACAGCGCCUUGAGCUUGACGAUCUGCAGUUCGUCCAGGUUGGUCACCUUGUUCACGACCUCCGUGGGCAGGUCGUUGGCGAAGAGCGCGAAGUCGAGGAUCUGCAGGCCGGGGUUGUCGCUGCUGAACGAGGACAGCGUCACCGCCGUGGUGUUGCCGUGGCUGUACUGGAAGUGGAGCUGGCCCUGCGGGAGCACCAUCAGGUCGCCGGCGUACAGCGUCUUGGUGUACACCCUGUUGAGCGUGGCGCUGAUGAAGCCGCAGACGACGCUGCCCUCGAUGACGAAGAUGAGCUCGGUGCCUCCCGGGUGGGAGUGCAGCGGCGCGACGCCGCCCGGGACCAUCACCAUCCGCGCGGCAGAGAUGCCCAGCCCGUUCAGGCCGGGGAACGUGGUGACGACGGCCGAGCCCAGGGAGAUCUUGAAGGGUUUCAGCGCCGUGCCGGGGGUGGCGAGGCCGCCAUAGUGGAAGUCGUCGGCGGUCACGUCCUUCGGGGGCUUGCACGGGUAGCCGCCCGGCGUGGCGGCGGCGGAUAGGUCGGCGAUGCAGAAGUCCUGGUACACGGCGAGGGAGGAGAAUGGCAGCACGACGAGCGAAGCCACGAGGGCGAGGAGCAGCUCGGCCUUGGCCAUGCUGUACGUAGGCAUGCAGAGGCUAUCUAGCUGUAUGUUUGGACGCGUGUCUC
This 735-nucleotide unclassified non-coding RNA is filed under the name Zea mays. RNAcentral describes it as "misc RNA Zm00001eb294150". The record is from RNAcentral. Lineage: Eukaryota; Viridiplantae; Streptophyta; Magnoliopsida; Poales; Poaceae.